This is a long non-coding RNA of Arachis stenosperma, 1339 nucleotides long. RefSeq lists it as uncharacterized. The record is from RefSeq and is a predicted model, not a curated record. Lineage: Eukaryota; Viridiplantae; Streptophyta; Magnoliopsida; Fabales; Fabaceae. The transcript has 3 exons.
UUUCGUUUUUCUCUUAAGAAUGAAACCCCAGCAGAGCUUUUUUCCCUCCCAAAUCAGUGAGCUUCACCAACGCCACCGCUGCCGGAGUCGGCACCGGCGUUGCCGUUACUCUAAACAGAAGAUUUGUCUCCUUCUCUUCUCCGAUUCAUGUUCGCACUGCUUCUCUCUGUGAAUUUUCUUCCAAUCUCACGUUAAGGUUUGAGUUUUUUCCCAAAUCAGUGGAGGCUUCACCAAUGCCACCGCCAUUGGAGCUGCGCCGGCGCCAACGUUACCCUAAACAGAAGACUGGUCUCCUUCUCUUCUUAGAGUUCAUGUUCGCAUUGCUUCUCUCUGCGAAUUCUUUUCGAAUCUCUCAUUAAGUUGUAUAUAGCCUGUGUAUGGCUCAAUAUAAAGCCAAGAUUGCCCUCCAAGACAUGGUCCCUUUCAGUCUUGUCAUCUAUGAGUGCUCCAUUUCCUCCAUCAGGUGAUGGAGUUUAAUUAUCCUUCUUCUCUUCUCUAAGUAAUUGGCAAAGCACCUCUUCAUAUGGUACCUACUCUGCCUCAAUGCAUCCAGCAUGUUCUCCACUAUGGAAUUCGUGCGCUUCAACUUCGGUGCUGAAGAAGAAGCAGCAGCCAUUUCUGAGAAAGUUCUUGAUCACAAAACAAUAGCUCGUCUUCAGGCUGCAUGUUUCUUCAACACACGUUAUCUGACAAAUUGAUUUCACAUCUUUGAAACCAAAUUCAAUUGGCAGAUGCAAAGGAUGUAUUGGAAAAGAUGUGAAAGGUGUUAGUUUUCCUAUAUUAACUCCAAACCUCAAAGUAAGAUAUAUAUGCUUUAAAAAUUAUUAUUGCCAUCAUAGUAAAUUAUAUAAUCAGCCAUUUGACUGGUUUGAAUUCUGUUUAUUUUAUUUCUCAAAUAACAUGCUGAACUCUGCAGUUUGAAUUCUGUUUAUUAUUUUUGCUGAAUUCUGUGAUUUGAAUUCUGUUUAUUUUAUUUCUCAAAUAAAUUGUUGCUUCAACUUGGUGGGUGCUUUUCUCCAUAUAUAUGCAUGGUCGAUUGAUUGUUUUUCAGCAUACCAUUCAUGAUGGAGAUGUCCCGGUCUAUGAGUGACAUCAGACUAUCAGAUAUGGAAGUGGAUCCACCACCAAUCUUCAGUCAAAGGUCUGAUUUCCAAUUCUUGCUACAACACAUUGAAAGCGAUUCUCAGUAACCUAGCAAAACUUUAGUGUUCAUACACAGUUAUACUUUCUGAUUUCUAUUGAUUUGAUUUGAGUUUGGUGUGAGGAGUGUAAAUUGAGUGAAGAGAUGAGAGAUUGUAAUUAUUUUUUUGUAUCUAUUCCUUUUCAAUUGUUUUCUGAA